GAUGAACGCUGGCGGCGUGCCUAAUACAUGCCAGUCGAGCGAACAGACGAGGAGCUUGCUCCUCUGACGUUAGCGGCGGACGGGUGAGUAACACGUGGAUAACCUACCUAUAAGACUGGGAUAACUUCGGGAAACCGGAGCUAAUACCGGAUAAUAUAUUGAACCGCAUGGUUCAAUAGUGAAAGACGGUUUUGCUGUCACUUAUAGAUGGAUCCGCGCCGCAUUAGCUAGUUGGUAAGGUAACGGCUUACCAAGGCGACGAUGCGUAGCCGACCUGAGAGGGUGAUCGGCCACACUGGAACUGAGACACGGUCCAGACCCCUACGGGAGGCAGCAGUAGGGAAUCUUCCGCAAUGGGCGAAAGCCUGACGGAGCAACGCCGCGUGAGUGAUGAAGGUCUUCGGAUCGUAAAACUCUGUUAUUAGGGAAGAACAAAUGUGUAAGUAACUAUGCACGUCUUGACGGUACCUAAUCAGAAAGCCACGGCUAACUACGUG
This 497-nucleotide ribosomal RNA is filed under the name uncultured bacterium. Its description in RNAcentral is "partial 16S ribosomal RNA". It matches the Rfam family "Bacterial small subunit ribosomal RNA", at positions 28 to 507 of the family's 1533-position model. The record is from RNAcentral.